This 393-nucleotide ribosomal RNA is filed under the name uncultured bacterium. Its description in RNAcentral is "partial 16S ribosomal RNA". It matches the Rfam family "Bacterial small subunit ribosomal RNA", at positions 523 to 918 of the family's 1533-position model. The record is from RNAcentral.
AUACGGAGGAUCCGAGCGUUAUCCGGAUUUAUUGGGUUUAAAGGGAGCGUAGGUGGAUUGUUAAGUCAGUUGUGAAAGUUUGCGGCUCAACCGUAAAAUUGCAGUUGAAACUGGCAGUCUUGAGUACAGUAGAGGUGGGCGGAAUUCGUGGUGUAGCGGGGGAAUGCUUAGAUAUCACGAAGAACUCCGAUUGCGAAGGCAGCUCACUAGACUGUUACUGACACUGAUGCUCGAAAGUGUGGGUAUCAAACAGGAUUAGAUACCCUGGUAGUCCACACAGUAAACGAUGAAUACUCGCUGUUUGCGAUAUACAGUAAGCGGCCAAGCGAAAGCAUUAAGUAUUCCACCUGGGGAGUACGCCGGCAACGGUGAAACUCAAAGGAAUUGACGGGG